CAAACAUGUUCUCCAGCCUUCUGAAGAUGUUCAUGGCUUCAACGUUGCUAGGAUCCAGUAUUGCCCAGAAAGUAACUCAAGCCCAACCAGCAAUGUGCGUGCAGGAGAAGGAGGCUGUGACCCUGAACUGCACAUAUGAUACCAGUGAUAGAAGUUAUAGUCUCUUCUGGUACAAGCAGCCCAGAAGUGGGGCGAUGAUGUUUCUUAUUCGUCAGGAUUCCUAUAGCCAGCAAAGUGCCACAGAAGGUCGCUACUCAUUGAAUUUCCAGAAGGCAAACAAAUCCAUCAACCUUGUCAUCUCAGCUUCACAGCUCGAGGACUCUGCAGUGUAUUUCUGUGCACUGAGUGAGCCCACAGUGAGAGGUGUGUUGGAAGGAGGUGUACCAAAACCCCAGGGCUCUGCUUGAUAUACGCACCUGCUGUGGGGACCAAGGCAGGGAAUUGCCAUCACAGAGAGGAAGUGGCUAGGGCUGUGGCAGCAGAGGUGUAGGAUUAGAGAGAAAACACUCACUCUAAGAAAAUAUCUUUCUAGGUUCAUAGACCCUGUCUAGAGUUAUCAUUCAUCAAAAACGUCCUUACCCCUGAAUCAUUGGCUUGAAAUUGUUUAUUGAAGACAAAG
This is a non-coding RNA of Ceratotherium simum simum (southern white rhinoceros), 619 nucleotides long. Lineage: Eukaryota; Metazoa; Chordata; Mammalia; Perissodactyla; Rhinocerotidae. The record is from the annotation of a RefSeq genome assembly.